AAAUUGAAGAGUUUGAUCAUGGCUCAGAUUGAACGCUGGCGGCAGGCCUAACACAUGCAAGUCGAACGGUAACAGGAAGCAGCUUGCUGCUUUGCUGACGAGUGGCGGACGGGUGAGUAAUGUCUGGGAAACUGCCUGAUGGAGGGGGAUAACUACUGGAAACGGUGGCUAAUACCGCAUAACGUCGCAAGACCAAAGAGGGGGACCUUCGGGCCUCUUGCCAUCAGAUGUGCCCAGAUGGGAUUAGCUAGUUGGUGAGGUAACGGCUCACCAAGGCGACGAUCCCUAGCUGGUCUGAGAGGAUGGCCAGCCACACUGGAACUGAGACACGGUCCAGACUCCUACGGGAGGCAGCAGUGGGGAAUAUUGCACAAUGGGCGCAAGCCUGAUGCAGCCAUGCCGCGUGUAUGAAGAAGGCCUUCGGGUUGUAAAGUACUUUCAGCGGGGAGGAAGGUGUUGUGGUUAAUAACCGCAGCAAUUGACGUUACCCGCAGAAGAAGCACCGGCUAACUCCGUGCCAGCAGCCGCGGUAAUACGGAGGGUGCAAGCGUUAAUCGGAAUUACUGGGCGUAAAGCGCACGCAGGCGGUCUGUCAAGUCGGAUGUGAAAUCC
Molecule: ribosomal RNA, 612 nt
Filed under: Salmonella enterica
Lineage: Bacteria; Pseudomonadati; Pseudomonadota; Gammaproteobacteria; Enterobacterales; Enterobacteriaceae
Also listed under: 1 other name
Description: partial 16S ribosomal RNA
Rfam family: Bacterial small subunit ribosomal RNA
Source: RNAcentral